RNAcentral lists this ribosomal RNA (867 nucleotides) under uncultured organism. RNAcentral's name for it is "bacterial SSU rRNA". It matches the Rfam family "Bacterial small subunit ribosomal RNA", at positions 633 to 1510 of the family's 1533-position model. The record is from RNAcentral.
CUGCGGAGCUAGAGUACGGCAGAGGGGAGUGGAAUUCCUGGAGUAGCGGUAAAAUGCGCAGAUAUCAGGAGGAACACCAGUGGCGAAGGGCGGCUCCUGGGCCGAGACUGACGCUCAGAGGCGAAAGCUAGGGGAGCGAACAGGAUUAGAGACCCUGGUAGUCCUAGCCCUAAACGAUGGAUGCUAGGUGUGGGGACGAGGAGUUUCCGUGCCGGAGCAAACGCGAUAAGCAUCCCGCCUGGGGACUACGGCCGCAAGGUUAAAACUCAAACGAAUUGACGGGGGCCCGCACAAGCAGCGGAGCGUGUGGUUUAAUUCGAUGCUACACGAAGAACCUUACCUGGGUUUGACAUGUAGGUGGUAGCGAGGCGAAAGCUGAGCGACCCUUCGGGGAGCCUACACAGGUGCUGCAUGGCUGUCGUCAGCUCGUGCCGUGAGGUGUCGGGUUAAGUCCCGUAACGAGCGCAACCCUUGCUCCUAGUUAUACGUGUCUAGGGGGACUGCCGGCGGGAAGCCGGAGGAAGGUGGGGAUGACGUCAAGUCAGCAUGGCCCUUAUGUCCAGGGCUACACACACGCUACAAUGGCCAGUACAAAGGGUAGCGAAGCCGCGAGGUGGAGCGAAUCUCAGCAAAGCUGGUCGUAGUUCGGAUUGCAGGCUGCAACCCGCCUGCAUGAAGCUGGAGUUGCUAGUAACCGCGCGUCAGCUAUAGUGCGGUGAAUACGUUCCCGGGCCUUGUACACACCGCCCGUCACGUCAUGGGAGUCGGUAACGCCUGAAGGCGGUAGCUUGACCUGAUAAAGGGGAGCGCUGUCGAGGGCGGGACUGGCAACUGGGACGAAGUCGUAACAAGGUAACCAAGGGCGAA